This 76-nucleotide transfer RNA is filed under the name Clostridioides difficile. RNAcentral's name for it is "tRNA-Lys". It matches the Rfam family "tRNA". Rfam says of the family: Transfer RNA (tRNA) molecules are approximately 80 nucleotides in length. Lineage: Bacteria; Bacillati; Bacillota; Clostridia; Peptostreptococcales; Peptostreptococcaceae. The record is from RNAcentral.
GGACUAUAAGCUCAGUCGGUAGAGCACCUGACUUUUAAUCAGGGUGUCCCGCGUUCGAGUCGCGGAUAGAUCACCA